GCGCAUCUGUACAUGGAUAAGGAAAUGGGCUUUCUGCUCUCACGCCCGAUUUGGGGUGUGUGAGGCAUCCAAAAGCCUCCUGUCGGGAAACAGCGGCCUUAUUGUGUGCCUGACUGAGGUUUCAACUUGCAGGCAACUGAGGAUCCAUUCAGCUGGGCAACUUGGACUUGGCUGGUCUUUCGACUUGUGCCUCCUCGCAGUCCCUGGUGAUUUAGAGCUGCUUUAGAGCUGCGUGGAUGUUCCUCGUCAAGCCC
RNAcentral lists this long non-coding RNA (254 nucleotides) under Ictidomys tridecemlineatus (thirteen-lined ground squirrel). RNAcentral's name for it is "lncRNA (ENSSTOG00000033542.1)". Lineage: Eukaryota; Metazoa; Chordata; Mammalia; Rodentia; Sciuridae. The record is from RNAcentral.